GGCUGGUCUGAAGGUAGUGAGUUAUCUCACUUGAUUGUUUACAGUCAGCUACAGAUUGAACUCCUUGUUCUAUUACUUUAUCUCUUCCUCACUACUGCACUUGAUUAGUCUAAA
This 114-nucleotide Y RNA is filed under the name Microcebus murinus (gray mouse lemur). Its description in RNAcentral is "Y RNA (ENSMICG00000042123.1)". It matches the Rfam family "Y RNA". From Rfam's summary of the family: Y RNAs are components of the Ro ribonucleoprotein particle (Ro RNP), in association with Ro60 and La proteins. Lineage: Eukaryota; Metazoa; Chordata; Mammalia; Primates; Cheirogaleidae. The record is from Rfam by way of RNAcentral.